GCGGGGGCGGAGUCUGGGCAUGGCCAAGCAGCCUGUGGACCUGGAGGACGAGGACAGGGUGGCCCCGGAGCCUCAGGGCCAGUGGCACUGAUGAUAAUCCGUCCCCAUCUCCAGCUGUGUGGACGCCACCACUUUCCUCUACUUCAGCUUCUUCGCACCGCUCAUCUACGUGGCCUUCCUCCGGGGCUUCUUUGGCUCGGAGCCCAAGAUCCUGUUCUCCUAUAAAUGCCAAGUGGACGAGACGGAGGAGCCGGACGUCCACCUGCCCCAGCCCUACGCCGUGGCCCGGCGGGAAGGCUUAGAGGCCGCGGGCGCUGCUGGGGCCUCGACUGCCUCCUAUUCCAGCACACAGUUCGAUUCCGCGGGCGUAGCCUACCUGGACGACGUGGCGUCCAUGCCCUGCCACGCGGGCAGCAUCAACAGCACCGACAGCGAUCGGUGGAAGGCCAUCAACGCCUGAGAGCCGCCUCCCUGGACCUGCGGGGACAGACGGGACCGGGGGCCGAGGCCCGACUCCCAGGUGGAGCAGAUGAAGGGUUGGGGGCGAGGCCUGCACCUCCUGCCCUCCAGCCCCCAGUUCCCUUGGUGGCCAGUGCUCCAGCUGGGGACCCCUCGUCCUUUUUCCAUCCCCUCGCCCGGCUCAGCAGGCCAGACUGGUCUCCCAGGGACAGAACCUCAUUGCACAGGAUGGCUGCUGCCCACCUCCCCUCACUGCCCCACUCCGCAGCCACUGGUCUCCUCCGAGUGCACAGCGUGGGGGACCAGCGGUGGCGUGUAUAUUUUCUUGAUUUAUUUUUUAAUAAAAAGGAAAAGAGUAGAAA
Marmota flaviventris (yellow-bellied marmot) is the source of this 821-nucleotide non-coding RNA. The record is from RefSeq and is a predicted model, not a curated record. Lineage: Eukaryota; Metazoa; Chordata; Mammalia; Rodentia; Sciuridae.